UACGUAGGUGGCGAGCGUUGUCCGGAUUUACUGGGCGUAAAGAGCGCGCAGGCGGUCGUACAAGUCGCGUGUGAAAGCCCCCGGCUCAACUGGGGAGGGUCACGCGAUACUGUUCGACUCGAAGGCAGGAGAGGGAAGUGGAAUUCCCGGUGUAGUGGUGAAAUGCGUAGAUAUCGGGAGGAACACCAGUGGCGAAGGCGACUUCCUGGCCUGUUCUUGACGCUGAGGCGCGAAAGCGUGGGGAGCAAACAAG
RNAcentral lists this ribosomal RNA (253 nucleotides) under uncultured bacterium. Its description in RNAcentral is "partial 16S ribosomal RNA". It matches the Rfam family "Bacterial small subunit ribosomal RNA", at positions 524 to 776 of the family's 1533-position model. The record is from RNAcentral.